GGCUCUGUGGCGCAAUGGAUAGCGCAUUGGACUUCUAGAUCAAUGACGGGACGGAGUCAUUCAAAGGUUGUGGGUUCGAGUCCCACCAGAGUCG
RNAcentral lists this transfer RNA (94 nucleotides) under Notechis scutatus (mainland tiger snake). It matches the Rfam family "tRNA". From Rfam's summary of the family: Transfer RNA (tRNA) molecules are approximately 80 nucleotides in length. Their secondary structure includes four short double-helical elements and three loops (D, anti-codon, and T loops). The record is from Rfam by way of RNAcentral. RNAcentral also lists the same sequence under 4 other names. Lineage: Eukaryota; Metazoa; Chordata; Lepidosauria; Squamata; Elapidae.